This 98-nucleotide microRNA precursor is filed under the name Pteropus alecto (black flying fox). RNAcentral's name for it is "mir-544 microRNA precursor family". It matches the Rfam family "mir-544 microRNA precursor family". The record is from Rfam by way of RNAcentral. Lineage: Eukaryota; Metazoa; Chordata; Mammalia; Chiroptera; Pteropodidae.
AUCACCUAGCAAUCUUGUUAAAAUGCAGAUUCUGAGUCAUUAGGCCUGGAUUGGGGCCUCAGAUUCUGUAUUUCUAACAAAUUCCCAGGUAAUGCCAA